AGAAAGGUUCUUCUAGGAACCACUGCGUAUUUUCUGUCAUGCCUUAG
Molecule: non-coding RNA, 47 nt
Organism: Egretta garzetta (little egret)
Lineage: Eukaryota; Metazoa; Chordata; Aves; Pelecaniformes; Ardeidae
Source: Rfam